This 449-nucleotide ribosomal RNA is filed under the name uncultured bacterium. Its description in RNAcentral is "partial 16S ribosomal RNA". It matches the Rfam family "Bacterial small subunit ribosomal RNA", at positions 29 to 523 of the family's 1533-position model. The record is from RNAcentral.
AACGAACGCUGGCGGCAUGCCUAACACAUGCAAGUCGAACGAGAUCUUCGGGUCUAGUGGCGCACGGGUGCGUAACGCGUGGGAAUCUGCCCUUUGGUUCGGAAUAACAGUUGGAAACGACUGCUAAUACCGGAUGAUGACGAAAGUCCAAAGAUUUAUCGCCAGAGGAUGAGCCCGCGUAGGAUUAGCUAGUUGGUGUGGUAAAGGCGCACCAAGGCGACGAUCCUUAGCUGGUCGGAGAGGAUGAUCAGCCACACUGGGACUGAGACACGGCCCAGACUCCUACGGGAGGCAGCAGUGGGGAAUAUUGGACAAUGGGCGAAAGCCUGAUCCAGCAAUGCCACGUGAGUGAUGAAGGCCUUAGGGUUGUAAAGCUCUUUUACCCGGGAUGAUAAUGACAGUACCGGGAGAAUAAGCUCCGGCUAACUCCGUGCCAGCCGCCGCGGUAA